GGGAAUUCGAUUAGAGUUUGAUCCUGGCUCAGAUUGAACGCUGGCGGCAGGCCUAACACAUGCAAGUCGAGCGGAUGAGAAGAGCUUGCUCUUCGAUUCAGCGGCGGACGGGUGAGUAAUGCCUAGGAAUCUGCCUGGUAGUGGGGGACAACGUUUCGAAAGGAACGCUAAUACCGCAUACGUCCUACGGGAGAAAGCAGGGGACCUUCGGGCCUUGCGCUAUCAGAUGAGCCUAGGUCGGAUUAGCUAGUUGGUGAGGUAAUGGCUCACCAAGGCGACGAUCCGUAACUGGUCUGAGAGGAUGAUCAGUCACACUGGAACUGAGACACGGUCCAGACUCCUACGGGAGGCAGCAGUGGGGAAUAUUGGACAAUGGGCGAAAGCCUGAUCCAGCCAUGCCGCGUGUGUGAAGAAAGUCUUCGGAUUGUAAAGCACUUUAAGUUGGGAGGAAGGGCAUUAACCUAAUACGUUAGUGUUUUGACGUUACCGACAGAAUAAGAACCGGCUAACUCUGUGCCAGCAGCCGCGGUAAUACAGAAGGUGCAAGCGUUAAUCGGAAUUACUGGGCGUAAAGCGCGCGUAAGUGGUUUGUUAACUUGGAUGUGAAAACCCCGGGCUCAACCUGGGAACUGGAUCCACAACUGGCCAGCUAGAGUACUGUAUAAAGGGGGAGGGAAUUCCUGUGUUCCGGUGAAAUGCCGAGAUUUAAGAAGGAACACCAAGGGCGAUAGUUAACCCCUGUCACUUAUACUGAUCUUGAGGUGGGCAAGUGGGGAGGAGAAACUGGAAUUAAAAUCAUGG
RNAcentral lists this ribosomal RNA (801 nucleotides) under uncultured Pseudomonas sp. Its description in RNAcentral is "bacterial SSU rRNA". It matches the Rfam family "Bacterial small subunit ribosomal RNA", at positions 1 to 790 of the family's 1533-position model. Lineage: Bacteria; Pseudomonadati; Pseudomonadota; Gammaproteobacteria; Pseudomonadales; Pseudomonadaceae. The record is from RNAcentral.